This 1637-nucleotide long non-coding RNA is filed under the name Salmo salar (Atlantic salmon). RNAcentral describes it as "lncRNA (ENSSSAG00000117667.1)". The record is from RNAcentral. Lineage: Eukaryota; Metazoa; Chordata; Actinopteri; Salmoniformes; Salmonidae.
UUCCACUUUAAACUUUGAGUCACUGCUUAAUGUACAUUGUGUGCUAAACAUGAAAUGUUUUUUGCAAUGGAAAGUAAUAAUUGUACAUUUCGAUUGGGAAGUGCUUCAUGGUUGUGUUUUUGUAUUCUUAUGACUGGGAACCUACUGGUUUAUUAUGUCAGAGUUUAUGGACUGCUUAUCCUUUAACAUCAUGCUGUGUGACUGCUGUCCUUCCAUCGGCUCUAUGCAGUGGUGUAGUGGUGCCUGCAUAAGUGGGUAUGCUCUAAUUUGUCAAAAAGUUCCCAAAGUUCACCACUGUACUAACCUGUCACACUGAAGGCCUAUAGGUUCACCACUGUACUAACCUGUCACACUGAAGGCCUAUAGGUUCACCACUGUACUAACCUGUCACACUGAAGACCUAUAGGUUCACCACUGUAUUAACCUGUCACACACUGAAGACCUAUAGGUUCACCACUGUACUAACCUGUCACACACUGAAUACCUAUAGGUUCACCACUGUAUUAACCUGUCACACUGAAGACCUAUAGGUUCACCACUGUACUAACCUGUCACACUGAAGGCCUAUAGGUUCACCACUGUACUAACCUGUCACACACUUUAGACCUAUAGGUUCACCACUGUAUUAACCUGUCACACACUGAAGACCUAUAGGUUCACCACUGUACUAACCUGUCACACACUGAAUACCUAUAGGUUCACCACUGUAUUAACCUGUCACACUGAAGACCUAUAGGUUCACCACUGUACUAACCUGUCACACUGAAGGCCUAUAGGUUCACCACUGUACUAACCUGUCACACACUUUAGACCUAUAGGUUCACCACUGUAUUAACCUGUCACACUGAAGGCCUAUAGGUUCACCACUGUAUUAACCUGUCACACUGAAGGCCUAUAGGUUCACCACUGUAUUAACCUGUCACACACUGAAGACCUAUAGGUUCACCACUGUAUUAACCUGUCACACUGAAGGCCUAUAGGUUCACCACUGUAUUAACCUGUCACACUGAAGGCCUAUAGGUUCACCACUGUACUAACCUGUCACACACUUUAGACCUAUAGGUUCACCACUGUACUAACCUGUCACACUGAAGGCCUAUAGGUUCAACACUGUACUAACCUGUCACACUGAAGGCCUAUAGGUUCGCCACUGUACUAACCUGUCACACACUGAAUACCUAUAGGUUCACCACUGUACUAACCUGUCACACACUGAAGACCUAUAGGUUCACCACUGUACUAACCUGUCACACUGAAGGCCUAUAGGUUCACCACUAUACUAACCUGUCACACACUGAAGACCUAUAGGUUCACCACUGUACUAACCUGUCACACUGAAGGCCUAUAGGUUCACCACUGUAUUAACCUGUCACACUGAAGGCCUAUAGUUUCACCACUGUGUUUAGAUAUUCAUGUUUCAUUGGAAGUUGAUAGUUGUUUGUUUUUUGCUUCGCUGGUUUCGGGAAGAAGUGAAAAGUCCUCACUGCCCGAGACCAAGUCAAGACCAAAUACAAAUGUAUCCGACACCGAGACAAGACCAAGACACUCAAUAUGUGGUCUCGAGACUGGACUCGAGUACUACAACACUGCUUUGUUGUUUCCAUCAAGUACACAACAUGUAAUGGCCCAUUUGAUUA